UUUUUUUUUAUUUGUUUUGCUGGGCGACACCCCAUAGUACGAGGUCCGCCCACAAGUUAGUAUCUCGAGAAACUAGUGUCAUGAUGCAAAGUGGAGGAUUAGCGUUUAGAGUCGUUUAUACCCUAAGAGAGAGUCUCUUAAUAUCAAUUCGUAUAUGACGAUAGCAACUACGUGGAACUUGAAGAAGGCUUUCAGUCAAUAUUAAUAGCAAGUAGCUAGUUCGAUAGUCGAUAGCAAGUACGUNNNNNNNNNNNNNNNNNNNNUCGAAACAGAACCACAAAUAAACUCCCAAGGGCCACGGAAAUCAGAAAAAAGAAACAAGAGAGAAACAAGAAACCCAAAGAAAAUAGGAAAUUAAAGCUCAAAAACAAUGAAAGAAACCACAACAAAAUAGAACAUUAAAACUCAAAACAUAAAAGCAAGAAGAAACAGGAGAGAGACAACAAACUCCAGAAAAAUAGAAAACUAAAACCUAGAAAAUAAAAGCAAGAAGAAAUAGGAGAAAGACCACAAAGCCCAAGAAAAUAUAAGGAAAAACAAUCAAACAUCAGAAAACGAAAGCAAAAAAGAAACACAAGAAAAAAAAUAGCACAGAAACUGGAACCUUAAGAAAAAUGUAAUGAAACACAAUUUCUUAUAGAGAAAUACAAUUAAAAAUUAAUAAAAAGAAAGCAAUCAAAUAACAUCAAAAGUAAGACGAAAGCUAAAGACGGAUGGCCUACAGCUCCCAGGAAAUUAAAGAGAGAAAGGGGAGGCUAUAGAUGGCUGCGAUUAAGCGUCAGCAUCGAUUAGAUUUUCCAGUUACCCCCUAAUUACAGGGAAAUCUACUUUAAUAUAUCUCGGAUAUUUCAGGAACAAAAAUGUGCCCAGUCUAUAGGAUAUAUCUACAUCUAUAACUUAGUUAUGGGUGCAAAUUGAAUUUUUUUUCAUAGGAUUGAUUAUUAGGAUGAAGAUAAUGUGUUCGCAAAUUUUGGAAUCAUACAAAUGUCAAAAACAUGGUUUUGUAGAGGUGUGUUGUAUUAUACUACUAUACAAUCGUUGCAAUGGAUCAUUUCUCUAUAAUUAUAGGGCAAUGAUUUCAUGCAACCAUUAUAUAGUAAUAUGAUACAACAACUUGAAAAAACCAUCUUAUGGCUAUUUG
This 1141-nucleotide long non-coding RNA is filed under the name Amborella trichopoda. Its description in RNAcentral is "long non-coding RNA (ATRI_LNC001625)". Lineage: Eukaryota; Viridiplantae; Streptophyta; Magnoliopsida; Amborellales; Amborellaceae. The record is from RNAcentral.